This 253-nucleotide ribosomal RNA is filed under the name uncultured bacterium. RNAcentral's name for it is "partial 16S ribosomal RNA". It matches the Rfam family "Bacterial small subunit ribosomal RNA", at positions 524 to 776 of the family's 1533-position model. The record is from RNAcentral.
GACAGAGGGUGCAAACGUUGUUCGGAAUUACUGGGCGUAAAGCGUGUGUAGGCGGCUAUGUAAGUCGGAUGUGAAAGCCCCGGGCUCAACCUGGGAAGUGCACUCGAUACUGCGUGGCUAGAGUUUCGGAGAGGUUGGUGGAAUUCUCGGUGUAGAGGUGAAAUUCGUAGAUAUCGAGAGGAACACCGGUGGCGAAGGCGGCUCACUGGCCCGGUACUGACGCUGAGGCACGAAAGCGUGGGGAGCGAACAGG